GACGAACGCUGGCGGCGUGCCUAAUACAUGCAAGUAGAACGCUGAAGAGAGGAGCUUGCUCUUCUUGGAUGAGUUGCGAACGGGUGAGUAACGCGUAGGUAACCUGCCUUGUAGCGGGGGAUAACUAUUGGAAACGAUAGCUAAUACCGCAUAACAAUGGAUGACACAUGUCAUUUAUUUGAAAGGGGCAAUUGCUCCACUACAAGAUGGACCUGCGUUGUAUUAGCUAGUAGGUGAGGUAAUGGCUCACCUAGGCGACGAUACAUAGCCGACCUGAGAGGGUGAUCGGCCACACUGGGACUGAGACACGGCCCAGACUCCUACGGGAGGCAGCAGUAGGGAAUCUUCGGCAAUGGGGGCAACCCUGACCGAGCAACGCCGCGUGAGUGAAGAAGGUUUUCGGAUCGUAAAGCUCUGUUGUAAGUCAAGAACGGGUGUGAGAGUGGAAAGUUCACACUGUGACGGUAGCUGACCAGAAAAGGACGGCUAACUACGUG
Molecule: ribosomal RNA, 497 nt
Filed under: uncultured bacterium
Lineage: Bacteria
Description: partial 16S ribosomal RNA
Rfam family: Bacterial small subunit ribosomal RNA
Source: RNAcentral